ACUCGACUAGACGAGUAUAAAUAGUUGUUAAGUCUAGUGCGUUAUUAUAACAUUGUUGUAAUAGGUCAAA
Molecule: ribozyme, 70 nt
Filed under: unclassified sequences
Description: pistol ribozyme
Rfam family: Pistol ribozyme
Source: RNAcentral